Anolis carolinensis (green anole) is the source of this 2923-nucleotide long non-coding RNA. RefSeq lists it as uncharacterized. The transcript is spliced from 3 exons. NCBI's taxonomy places the organism in Eukaryota, Metazoa, Chordata, Lepidosauria, Squamata, Anolidae. The record is from RefSeq and is a predicted model, not a curated record.
CCGGGCUGUGGCGCAGCUGGCUAGUAACCAGCUGCUAUAAAAAUCACUACUGACCGAGAGGUCAUGAGUUCGAAGCCCGGGUCGGGUUAAGCCUCCGACCAUUAAAAAAAAUAAAAUAGCCCUGGCUUGCUGUUGACCUAGCAGCCCCGAAAGACAGUUGCAUCUGUCAAGUAGGGAAAAUUUAGGUACGCUUUAUGCGGGAGGCUAAUUUAACUAAUCUACAACACCAUAAAACUGCUCACGAGGAAAAGAAUGAGGAAGAACAGCCACCAUUGGACGGUGAAGCAACAGCUCCCCCUGUGGCCGGAAUCAUGAAGCUGGAAAGAUGUUAAAAAUGCCUCUGUGUCUGUCUAAAACUGAAUGUUGUUUGUCUGUUGGCAUUGAAUGUUUGCCAUAUAUGUGUUCAUUGUAAUCCGCCCUGAGUCCCCUUCAGGGUGAGAAGGGCGGAAUAUAAAUACUGUAAAUAAAUAAAUAAAUAAAUAAAUAAAUUUACAUGUUUAUUAGCCAAUGUAGGUAGUCAGGGAAUCCAAUUUAGGUGCAUAGAAUCUGUAUGUCCAAUGUCGUUCUUUAUGUAAAAAUGUUGUUCUGUAAAACUUGUUCCAAUACACCCUCUCACUCUGGAAAUUGCAGUAAACACAACCUAUGCCUUAAAGUUAUGGAAAAGUUAUUCAUGUCGUCUGUAAGAAGCUCAAGAGAUGUUGUUCCAUGGAGUUGGUGAUGGAAGUGGAUGACCUCGGAGAAGCAGGAGGGAGGGGAUAAUAAUAGGUCAAUGACAUCACAGAAGUAGAGGUGGGAUAGGCUGAUGACCUCACAGAAGCAGAUAUGGGAUUGGUGGAAGAAUUCUCAGAAGCAAAGGCAGGAUAGACGGAUACUUCAUAGAAUAACGGGUGGGAAUGGUGGAGGACCUCUCUGAAACCAAGACUACAAUCUGUGUGCAGCCUGGUGUCUUUAGCAAGGUGACGCUAACCUGAGAUGCGACAGAUGGGUGAUGGAGUCUUUCAUACGUAGAUGAUGCCCAGGAAGACAGCUGGAUGGAGAUCCCGGGGCCUGGAGUACUGGCGAAAGGUUACCAAAAGGUCUUGAUCAAUGGCAAUCUUCUCCAAAGGGAUUUUUAUAUUGAGAUAUAAAACAGAACAUGUUAAAUACACACAAAAAAGGGUUCGCGGAUACCGAGGGCUCCCAGCGAGGGAACCGGGGAACUAACUAGUAACCGUAAGCAUAAAGUAUUACUUGGCUGAAGUUGUUAUUGUUGAAGAAGGCCAGAAAUGCUUUCCAUCCCUCCAAAAAAGUCUUCAACCACUUUGUUUUUCAAAGUCUGCAUUAAUCUGGCUCUUUGGGCAAGCUCAACAAUAACCCAUUCUUUUUCUGUUGGUGUUCCCAAAUUCCUCGGGAUGAAUUUUCUGCUUUUGAAAGCAGUUCAUCCACAUACAUUCAACGGAAAUAUGUUACCUUCUCACCUGGGAGUAACUACAUGUAAACAUGUCAGAACCAAACACCUUCUGGCAAAUUUCCCUACGAACAUUCAUUCCGGCCCAAUAAAACAACUUCUCCUGCAAUUAACAGCUUGUUCGCCAAGUUUUUGUAGGUUCCUCGGUGGAUCAAAUUAAAACCCUAAUUGGAUCUGAACAUUCCUGGGAUCGUCAAUGGAAGAGGUUUGCCUUAGAGUCACCAAAGGUCAGAAAGAACUUGAAAGCACACAACAACAACGGCAGCAGCAGCUUCCAAAUCUGUCCAGUCCCGAGACCGGUUGGCCAAUCCAGGAGAGAGUGCUUGGGAUGACUCACAAAACCAGAGGAAAGCUUCCCUGAGUCACCCUUUCUGCAGGCUUUUCUCCGCACCUUUUCAGCUCCACCAGAACAAAUCCCAUCAGCAAAAGCUUCAAAGCAACGUCAGCAGAGAACUCCCUUGGAGAGCAUGCAAAUCCAGUAGUCCAAGGACACAAACCAGUUGCCCGGCCCACAUAUCUGCCAACACUUUACAAGGCAAUAACUGGGAAUCAUGUGGCCAAACAACAUUAAAAAAAAAACCCUCAAGGACUUCUUUCCCAUCCUUUACCGUGAUAACAAUUUACACAUAUCCUAUAAUUGCCCACAUUGGUAGGGACAGCCCCAGUUAACCUUCUAAUGUCCUAUUUUAGCCUGCUAUGGCUUCUAAAUGUGUGUAUAAUAUUCUGGAUGUGUUGUGUAUGCUGGGGCAGGCUAUAGUAAUACAUCUGAAGCUAUCUAUCUAUAUAUAAAAAAGUGAUGGCAUCAGGGCAGCGGACAAAACAACAAAACUACAGCCCCCCUAACCUCGAAAUUUGACAACACAACCCAUCAUCCACGGCUCUAGGUUGAUACAACAAAAAGAAAAGAAAAAUAAAGUCCUAAUUAGAGGGAAGGGAAUAAUUGUUUUUAUCCAAUUGCUGCCAGUUAGAGGGCUAAGCUCUGCCCACUUGGUCUCCUAGCAACCUACUCAGUCCAGGAGACAGGCACAGUUAGGCCUCAGGCCUCUUCCACAAUGCCUAUAAGAUACAGGUUAUCUGAUUUUAACUGGAUUAUAUGGCAGUGUAGACUCAAGGCCCUUCCACAUAGCUAUAUCACCCAUUUAGAAUCUUAUAUUAUCUGCUUUGAACUGGAUUAUCUUGAGUCCACACUGCCAGAUAAUUCACUUCAGUGUGCAUUUUAUACAGCUGUGUAGAAGGGGCAGUUCUAGGCAGAUAAUAUAAGAUUACAAAUAUACAGUAGAGUCUCACUAAUCCAACAUAAACAGUGCCCUCUAUCCUCACCACUUUCACAGUACCUACACAAACAACCAAAUGCAUACUAAACAUAAAGACAACCAUACAACAGACAUUCAAUACCACCACUGCCUCAACAAUUUCUCACCAACACCACCAGACAAUGACACAGCAACGCGUGGCCGGGCACAGCUAGUAUAUAUA